This 560-nucleotide unclassified non-coding RNA is filed under the name Hevea brasiliensis (rubber tree). Lineage: Eukaryota; Viridiplantae; Streptophyta; Magnoliopsida; Malpighiales; Euphorbiaceae. The record is from RNAcentral.
CAACCAGGUAGCAUUCCUACACGACGUCGCAGCCCGCAUGACAGCACCUGCCGCCGUCCGUUAGGACGACAGCGGGUGCCAGAUCAACGCGGGGAGCGAGCGUCAUUCGUUGAAGCAAUUUAUAAGAGGCAACACGUUCGAGAGAAUUCUCGAGCAUAUCAUGCCGCCGAAUGCACUGCAUCCAAGAGAGCGAGCACCGACGACGCGGCCCGCGACGAGCCUUGAAAGGGCUGAAGCGGAACACGAUGCGGGCUUCGGUGUUCGUCAUGCACCCGACAAGGGGUGCCGACAGAAAGGGAUUAACGAGACGCGACGCUUCCAUCACGUGAGGUACUGAUGCAAGAACCGAUAAAUCGCGGCCGCUCGAAAUACUUCGGGGCACAUCAAUGAGGAGGGAGCUGGCGCUGACAGUUCGAUGCCCGAGCACCGAGCCUGCCAACCCAAACUACCGAAUCACCACUCACGCGCCGUAUGCAUGUGAGCCCGGGCAACGCUCGACUGCCCCGCGCCCUUGCUUGCAGUGAAGCAGGGGUGCAGAGUCGUCGUCUAGCGAGGCCGAG